Molecule: long non-coding RNA, 247 nt
Organism: Vicia villosa (hairy vetch)
Lineage: Eukaryota; Viridiplantae; Streptophyta; Magnoliopsida; Fabales; Fabaceae
Exons: 3
Source: RefSeq, a predicted model, not a curated record
UGCUGGAUCUGAUGGUAUACUAGCCGAUCGGGAAGCGCGUCUGACUGUAAUUUCUUCAAGCGGAACAGAGGUACUGAACUGAUGUUUCAUGGAUGAAGCUGGGCUGCUCAUGGCUGUAUGAUUUUGUAUCAAAUGAGGUUUUGUGAAAGGUUGGAACACGGCACUGGCGGUAUACUUUUAAAGAAUGAUCGCGAUCACAAGGCUUGAAGAUGGAAAAUCAAAGUAGGAAGUGGAUCUAGAAUAGGAU